RNAcentral lists this ribosomal RNA (405 nucleotides) under uncultured bacterium. Its description in RNAcentral is "partial 16S ribosomal RNA". It matches the Rfam family "Bacterial small subunit ribosomal RNA", at positions 29 to 526 of the family's 1533-position model. The record is from RNAcentral.
AUUGAACGCUGGCGGCAGGCUUAACACAUGCAAGUCGAACGAGGGGCGGACGGGUGAGUAAUGCUUGGGACUCUAGCUUAGGGAGGGGGAUAACUACGGGACAGUGUAGCUAACACCGCGAACCCUAGGACGAGCCCAAGUGGGAUUAGGUAGGUGGUGAGGUAAAGGCUCACCAAGCCGACGAUCUCUAGCUGGUAUGAGAGGAUGACCAGCCACAAUGGGACUGAGACACGGCCCAGACUCCUACGGGAGGCAGCAGUGGGGAAUAUUGCGCAAUGGACCAAAGUUGACGGAGCAACGCCGCGUGAGUUAUGACAGCCUUCGGGUUGUAAAGCUCUGUUAAUCGGGAGACGGUACCGGAAUAGAAAGCCACGGCUAACUACGUGCCAGCAGCCGCGGUAAUAC